This 449-nucleotide ribosomal RNA is filed under the name uncultured bacterium. RNAcentral's name for it is "partial 16S ribosomal RNA". It matches the Rfam family "Bacterial small subunit ribosomal RNA", at positions 29 to 523 of the family's 1533-position model. The record is from RNAcentral.
AGCGAACGCUGGCGGCAGGCCUAACACAUGCAAGUCGAACGGAUCCUUCGGGAUUAGUGGCGGACGGGUGAGUAACACGUGGGAACGUGCCCUUUGGUUCGGAACAACUCAGGGAAACUUGAGCUAAUACCGGAUGUGCCCUUCGGGGGAAAGAUUUAUCGCCAUUGGAGCGGCCCGCGUCUGAUCAGCUAGUUGGAGAGGUAAAGGCUCACCAAGGCGACGAUCAGUAGCUGGUCUGAGAGGAUGAUCAGCCACAUUGGGACUGAGACACGGCCCAAACUCCUACGGGAGGCAGCAGUGGGGAAUCUUGCGCAAUGGGCGAAAGCCUGACGCAGCCAUGCCGCGUGAAUGAUGAAGGUCUUAGGAUUGUAAAAUUCUUUCACCGGGGACGAUAAUGACGGUACCCGGAGAAGAAGCCCCGGCUAACUUUGUGCCAGCCGCCGCCGUAA